RNAcentral lists this ribosomal RNA (432 nucleotides) under Burkholderia sp. oral taxon C87. RNAcentral describes it as "bacterial SSU rRNA". It matches the Rfam family "Bacterial small subunit ribosomal RNA", at positions 29 to 460 of the family's 1533-position model. The record is from RNAcentral. Lineage: Bacteria; Pseudomonadati; Pseudomonadota; Betaproteobacteria; Burkholderiales; Burkholderiaceae.
AUUGAACGCUGGCGGCAUGCCUUACACAUGCAAGUCGAACGGCAGCACGGGGGCAACCCUGGUGGCGAGUGGCGAACGGGUGAGUAAUACAUCGGAGCGUGUCCUGUAGUGGGGGAUAGCCCGGCGAAAGCCGGAUUAAUACCGCAUACGCUCUACGGAGGAAAGGGGGGGAUCUUAGGACCUCCCGCUACAGGGGCGGCCGAUGGCAGAUUAGCUAGUUGGUGGGGUAAAGGCCUACCAAGGCGACGAUCUGUAGCUGGUCUGAGAGGACGACCAGCCACACUGGGACUGAGACACGGCCCAGACUCCUACGGGAGGCAGCAGUGGGGAAUUUUGGACAAUGGGCGAAAGCCUGAUCCAGCAAUGCCGCGUGUGUGAAGAAGGCCUUCGGGGUUGUAAAGCACUUUUGUCCCGGAAAGAAAAACGCCGUGG